CACCUGUGUUACACGCUCACACACACACACCUGUGUUACUCCUUCCACACGCUUCGAUUCGGCUGAACCAAACGAGAGUACUCGCAUGCUCCCUUAAAAGACCUUCUCUUGAAAAACAAGAAAAAAAAGUAGCGAUGGUACUGUUUGUCCAACUUGAGACGCCGUAGCCAAUAUACACUUCCUCAAAAUAAUCAGAAUUAAUCUAAAGAUAACUCAAGAAAUCUGUCCAAAAUGUACGUUUUUGUCAAGGAGAUGCUAGUCGAACGGUUUUACACACAGCUAUCUCACACACACCUGUCUCACACACACCUGUCUCACACACACCUGUCUCACACACACCUGUCUCACACACAGCUGUCUCACACACACCUGUCUCACACACACCUGUCUCACACACACCUGUCUCACACACAGCUCUCUCACACACACCUGUCUUACACACAGCUCUCACACACACCUGUCUUACACACAGC
Oncorhynchus tshawytscha (Chinook salmon) is the source of this 473-nucleotide long non-coding RNA. NCBI's taxonomy places the organism in Eukaryota, Metazoa, Chordata, Actinopteri, Salmoniformes, Salmonidae. The record is from Ensembl.